This 508-nucleotide ribosomal RNA is filed under the name uncultured bacterium. RNAcentral's name for it is "partial 16S ribosomal RNA". It matches the Rfam family "Bacterial small subunit ribosomal RNA", at positions 28 to 507 of the family's 1533-position model. The record is from RNAcentral.
GACGAACGCUGGCGGCGUGCCUAAUACAUGCAAGUCGAACGCUUCUUUCCUCCCGAGUGCUUGCACUCAAUUGGAAAGAGGAGUGGCGGACGGGUGAGUAACACGUGGGUAACCUACCCAUCAGAGGGGGAUAACACUUGGAAACAGGUGCUAAUACCGCAUAACAGUUUAUGCCGCAUGGCAUAAGAGUGAAAGGCGCUUUCGGGUGUCGCUGAUGGAUGGACCCACGGUGCAUUAGCUAGUUGGUGAGGUAACGGCUCACCAAGGACACGAUGCAUAGACGACAUGGUGGGGUGAUCGUCCACACUCGGACUGAGACACGGCCCAGACUCCUACGAGAGGCAGCAGUAGGUAAUCUUCGGCAAUGGACGAAAGUCUGACCGAGCAACGCCGCGUGUGUGACGAAGGUUUUCCGAUCGUAAACCUCUGUUGCUAGUGAAGAACACGGACGUCAGUAACUAAACGUCCCCUGACGGUAUCUAACCAGAAAUCCACGGCUAACUACGUG